This 301-nucleotide ribosomal RNA is filed under the name uncultured bacterium. Its description in RNAcentral is "partial 16S ribosomal RNA". It matches the Rfam family "Bacterial small subunit ribosomal RNA", at positions 509 to 809 of the family's 1533-position model. The record is from RNAcentral.
CAGCCGCCGCGGUAAAACGUAGGUGGCAAGCGUUGUCCGGAAUUAUUGGGCGUAAAGCGCGCGCAGGCGGAUCAGUCAGUCUGUCUUAAAAGUUCGGGGCUUAACCCCGUGAUGGGAUGGAAACUGCUGGUCUAGAGUAUCGGAGAGGAAAGUGGAAUUCCUAGUGUAGCGGUGAAAUGCGUAGAUAUUAGGAAGAACACCAGUGGCGAAGGCGACUUUCUGGACGAAAACUGACGCUGAGGCGCGAAGGCCAGGGGAGCGAACGGGAUUAGAUACCCGCGUAGUCCCUGUCUCUUAUACA